This 1560-nucleotide unclassified non-coding RNA is filed under the name Amphibalanus amphitrite. RNAcentral describes it as "uncharacterized LOC122367052, transcript variant X2". The record is from RNAcentral. Lineage: Eukaryota; Metazoa; Arthropoda; Thecostraca; Balanomorpha; Balanidae.
AUGUAACAUAAUUUAAUUUUCUAUCUGAUGUUAUAAGUUUCAAAACAUGACUAAUGGGGGAACAUUACGAAAUUCGAUGUUAAAAACUGCUGACCACGAUUAUACACCCACAGCUGCUCACGGUUUCGUGUACUGCAAAUGCUGCUAAUAUAGUUCUGACGCUAGCAGACGCACGUUUUUGCAUUCAAUUGGCUGCCACGGUGUUCCAUGUGAUGAUAGAGAACAUCCCUGGUUUUCGACCUUUCUGUGUUGUGUAUAUUUGUUUAUUAGGCACAUUUCAAUUUCAAUUCAAAUUUGAUUUUGGUUCUCUCACUUCUGUGGGUCUUGGAGUUGUGGAUAUAUUUUGUGGAGCGUGGAGCAUCGGAGAUUUGUGGAGUAUUGAAUUGACCUGGUGUCAGUAUUCUUUGGUGUUUUUUUAUAGAUAUUUUCAUAGGCUACAAUGCCACCAGGAAGACCACUGACCAAGACCAAGACAGUGCUCAUGCCCGAAUCAUCGGCAACACAGGAUGGCAAACUUCGCCUCCCCUGGCUUGUAUGAAGCCUUGAUUUCCAUUUAAGGAAACUGCCCGCCAGUGGACGGAGGCCCGGCGACGGACGCUGGCUCAGUGGCCAACAGUGGUCCGCCAGCCGGCUGAUGGUGGCUCGCCGACCGACGCCGGCCCGUCGGCUGACCACGGCAUUCCGGCUGAUGGUGGCCCGCCAGCCGACGGAGGUCCGCCGGCCAUUCGUGGCACGCCCGCCGACGGCAGCUCGACGACACGUCCUGGCUAUGCCACCCCCAAGAUUACUUCGCCCCCCAGUCCAUAGGUCACCAGUUGCGGGCGCUUCAUCUGACGGUGUCGUCCGACGGCUCCACGGUGACCAGCGCCGCCACUGCGGAAACCAUCCGACCCCGAAAAUGCUGCUAGCCGUACACGAACAAAGGGCGCCGGGCACCCAGGACCAGCGCCCUGCUCCGAGGCGGUGUCCAAAGAAGGCUGCACAGUGCACUUGCUGUGCUAAGGCAUAGUGCGCGCUGACUGAUAGGAACAAAUGACGGUCAGUUAUCAGAUUUCAGUAUGGAACUCAAGAUGGUCGGAGCCGACCUGGCUCGGUGGAUGGUGUGCCAGGGUUGAUUAAGUGUCGAAAGGAGUGAGACGCCCAGAUAUGUGAAGGAUACGUCGAUACGAGCCCCGGCUUCGACUCCCCGUCCCAAAACGAUGUUGGUUGUGAUUGGAGGAUUCCCCCCCCCCCACCCCCACCCGCCCCCGAAUUUGUGCUAUGUAAUAGGACGAUAAUAUGUCGUGGUCUCAUUCUGGCUCGAUAUGGUAAUAGGUACUUAAUUGGACAGAUGCUGAUGGUAUUGGUGGUGGAUGUAAAUGGCAGGUUUGGCGAGCGCGAAUUAAUAAUCGUGAGAGCACUAGCUGCAAUCAGUCGCGCGCUUAUUGCUGAGCACCUGUGAGCAAGAAAAUUAUAUGAAUGUGGUAGUUCGUCGUGAAAUCUGUGUACUUUUGGAUUAAGCUGUCAGAACAUAAGUGUAUUUUUGCCGUGUCCACUGCAGCUCUGAAACAGAAACAUGGA